CCUACGGGUGACAGCAGUGAGGAAUAUUGGUCAAUGGACGAGAGUCUGAACCAGCAAAGUAGCGUGAAGGAUGACUGCCCUAUGGGUUGUAAACUUCUUUUAUAUGGGAAUAAAAUGUUCCACGUGUGGGAUUUUGUAUGUACCAUAUGAAUAAGGAUCGGCUAAAUCCGUGCCAGCGGCCGCGGUAAUACGGAGGAUCCGAGCGUUAUCCGGAUUUCUUGGGUUUAAAGGGAGCGUAGGGGGAUUGUUAAGUCAGUUGUGAAAGUUUGCGGCUCAACCGUAAAAUUUCUGUUGAAACUGGCAGUCUUGUGUACAGUAGAGGUGUGCGGAAUUCGUGGUGUAGCGGUGAAAUGCUUAGAUAUCACGAAGAACUCCGAGUGCGAAGGCAGUUCACUGGACUGCAACUGACACUGAGGCUCGAAAGUGUGGGUAUCAAACAGGAUUAGAUACCCCUGUAGUC
Molecule: ribosomal RNA, 460 nt
Filed under: uncultured bacterium
Lineage: Bacteria
Description: partial 16S ribosomal RNA
Rfam family: Bacterial small subunit ribosomal RNA
Source: RNAcentral